This 100-nucleotide ribosomal RNA is filed under the name Aspergillus versicolor. RNAcentral's name for it is "partial 28S ribosomal RNA". The record is from RNAcentral. Lineage: Eukaryota; Fungi; Ascomycota; Eurotiomycetes; Eurotiales; Aspergillaceae.
UUAGGGCCGGCCGGGCGCCAGCCGACGUCUCCAACCAUUUUCUUCAGGUUGACCUCGGAUCAGGUAGGGAUACCCGCUGAACUUAAGCAUAUCAAUAAGC